RNAcentral lists this ribosomal RNA (260 nucleotides) under uncultured bacterium. Its description in RNAcentral is "partial 16S ribosomal RNA". It matches the Rfam family "Bacterial small subunit ribosomal RNA", at positions 521 to 780 of the family's 1533-position model. The record is from RNAcentral.
UAAUACGUAGGGUGCGAGCGUUGUCCGGAAUUACUGGGCGUAAAGAGCUCGUAGGUGGUUUGUCGCGUUGUUCGUGAAAACCGAAGGCUUAACCUUUGGCGUGCGGGCGAUACGGGCAGACUGGAGUACUGCAGGGGAGACUGGAAUUCCUGGUGUAGCGGUGGAAUGCGCAGAUAUCAGGAGGAACACCGGUGGCGAAGGCGGGUCUCUGGGCAGUAACUGACGCUGAGGAGCGAAAGCGUGGGGAGCGAACAGGAUUA